AGUGAACGCUGGCGGUAGGCCUAACACAUGCAAGUCGAACGGCAGCACAGUAAGAGCUUGCUCUUACGGGUGGCGAGUGGCGGACGGGUGAGGAAUACAUCGGAAUCUACUUUUUCGUGGGGGAUAACGUAGGGAAACUUACUCUAAUACCGCAUACGACCUACGGGUGAAAGCAGGGGAUCUUCGGACCUUGCGCGAUUGAAUGAGCCGAUGUCGGAUUAGCUAGUUGGCGGGGUAAAGGCCCACCAAGGCGACGAUCCGUAGCUGGUCUGAGAGGAUGAUCAGCCACACUGGAGCUGAGACACGGUCCAGACUCCUACGGGAGGCAGCAGUGGGGAAUAUUGGACAAUGGGCGCAAGCCUGAUCCAGCCAUACCGCGUGGGUGAAGAAGGCCUUCGGGUUGUAAAGCCCUUUUGUUGGGAAAGAAAAGCAGCAGGUUAAUACCCCGCUGUUCUGACGGUACCCAAAGAAUAAGCACCGGCUAACUUCGUG
Molecule: ribosomal RNA, 492 nt
Filed under: uncultured bacterium
Lineage: Bacteria
Description: partial 16S ribosomal RNA
Rfam family: Bacterial small subunit ribosomal RNA
Source: RNAcentral